GCAUUGGUGGUGCAGCGUUAGAAUUCUUGUCUUCCAUGCAGGAGACCUGGGUUCAGUCCUUGGCCAAUGCA
This 71-nucleotide transfer RNA is filed under the name Loxodonta africana (African savanna elephant). It matches the Rfam family "tRNA". From Rfam's summary of the family: Transfer RNA (tRNA) molecules are approximately 80 nucleotides in length. Their secondary structure includes four short double-helical elements and three loops (D, anti-codon, and T loops). Lineage: Eukaryota; Metazoa; Chordata; Mammalia; Proboscidea; Elephantidae. The record is from Rfam by way of RNAcentral.